This 177-nucleotide ribosomal RNA is filed under the name uncultured bacterium. RNAcentral describes it as "partial 16S ribosomal RNA". It matches the Rfam family "Bacterial small subunit ribosomal RNA", at positions 355 to 524 of the family's 1533-position model. The record is from RNAcentral.
ACGAGAAUAUUCCGCAAUGGACGAAAGUCUGACGGAGCGACGCCGCGUGGAUGACGAAGGCUGAAAGGUUGUAAAAUCCUUUUGCUGGGGAAGAAUAAGCAUGGGAGGGAAUGCCCGUGUGAUGACAUGAACCGGCGAAUAAGCCCCGGCUAACUACGUGCCAGCAGCCGCGGUAAU